Long non-coding RNA from Camelus dromedarius (Arabian camel), 1325 nucleotides. RefSeq lists it as uncharacterized. The record is from RefSeq and is a predicted model, not a curated record. NCBI's taxonomy places the organism in Eukaryota, Metazoa, Chordata, Mammalia, Artiodactyla, Camelidae. The transcript has 6 exons.
AAGACCGCUGGUGCCCAAGGUGUUCUCUGGCAGGGCAAUGACGAAUCUAGGUCCCUCUUUCACUGCUACAUCAAUCAUGUGGGCCACUUGGACAAGGCCAAAUUUGCUAUCCCAACCAUAGCCCUUGACAGAGAUAUUCAGCUCCAGGAAGCCAUCAGAUGCAGCAGGUGGCCAGAGGAGGAGGCGAACGGGCUCAUAAAAUGUGACAUCCCCAACUUCAUCAAUACGGACCAGAACUCUUCCUUUGGGGAAGAUGAUCUCCUGAUUUUGGAACCACCAAUUGUUCUAGAAGAUAAGCCAGUUGCUCAGACCUCACACAUAGACUUGAAUUGAGAAACGUGCUUUGUCAAGUGUCUUUCUGAAGAUGUGAAGUUUGUCUUUGUAUGGCAGGAAUUCCCCUUUCACAAAAUUGUAUGUGUUUGUGUCUGAGAGAGAGAAAUGGAGACAGACAGAAAGACGGAGACAGAAGAGCACCCCCUCAGAAGAGAGCUAGUUAAGUCCUACAGGGACAAGGAUCCUUAUUUGUUCACUGACGGACCUCAGGUGGCUUGACCUGUACCCGUGGCACAGCAGUCAAUACAAAUUGGCCGGAUGGAAGGAGGGAUCGUUCCUUACAUUCACAGAUCCCUCCCUUCUCUCUGCACUUCCUGUCCAUCUGUCUCCCUCCACUUUUCUCCUCCUCCCCUCCUCCUCCCAUCUUCUCCCUCCCUCACUUCCGCAGCUUCUCUCACAGAAACCUGAGGAUCGCUGGCCCUCCUGGGCAUGCGCAGUCAGUGCCAGGUGGACCGCGGUUUGGAAGCUCCAUCUCCGAGCCGGGGAUCUGCCCCAAAAUCUUCUCAGCUAUGUCGCCCGGACCAGCUCGGUGGCGUGGGCGCUUCUCCCCCGGCUGAGAGCCUCCGGCCCGCCGUAAAGCCCAGCUUGUCCUGGUGAAGUCUGCAAAAGGGAGCGUCAGUGCUGAGGGAGCUUCCGUCACCUCCCUCAGUGUUUCUGCCCCAGGUAGGUAGCCGAGCAGAAGCGCACCGACGUGGCCUUCAAUCUACGAGGACUGCAGGCUGGUGGAGAAGAGGAUCGAGGACUUCACUGUCUCUCUCUUCAUCAUGCUCAAGUCCAAGUGGCUGGAUAGGGCCCCCAACAAGUCUGGGGAUAAGAUCCCCCUCCUCUGCACCUUGUUUGAGAAGGAGGACUUCAUGGGAUUGGACACAGACAGCAGGUGCCCUCACCUCCAGUGACAUCCAUCCAGACACCAGCACUGACACUGGCCGUGCUCAGAACUGCCUCAGCCCUGAAGACACAACUGACAAAUAGAAGGGGGCCACGCCCUGUUA